RNAcentral lists this transfer RNA (72 nucleotides) under Neotoma lepida (desert woodrat). It matches the Rfam family "tRNA". Rfam says of the family: Transfer RNA (tRNA) molecules are approximately 80 nucleotides in length. Their secondary structure includes four short double-helical elements and three loops (D, anti-codon, and T loops). The record is from Rfam by way of RNAcentral. Lineage: Eukaryota; Metazoa; Chordata; Mammalia; Rodentia; Cricetidae.
GAGNAUGUAGCUCAAUGGUAGAGUGUUUGCCUGGAAUGCACCAGGUCCUGGGUUUGGUUCCCAGCAAUCCCC